Molecule: ribosomal RNA, 590 nt
Filed under: Sparassis latifolia
Lineage: Eukaryota; Fungi; Basidiomycota; Agaricomycetes; Polyporales; Sparassidaceae
Description: eukaryotic LSU rRNA
Rfam family: 5.8S ribosomal RNA (bases 190-343)
Source: RNAcentral
AAGCGAGGUUGUAGCUGGCCUUCUCGGAGGCAUCGUGCACGCCCUGCCCGUCCCAUAUCAUACCUGUGAACUUUUUGGUAGGCGGGUUUGUGUCGGCCUCGAAAGGGGUCGACCGGCCCUCCGGCCGUCUUUAUAUACACACCAUACGAGUCUUUAGAAUGUUUGUGCGUCUCGACGCAUCUUAUAUAUAACUUUCAGCGACGGAUCUCUUGGCUCUCGCAUCGAUGAAGAACGCAGCGAAACGCGAUAAGUAAUGUGAAUUGCAGAAUUCAGUGAAUCAUCGAAUCUUUGAACGCACCUUGCGCUCCUCGGUAUUCCGAGGAGCAUGCCUGUUUGAGUGUCAUGAAAUUAUCAACCCCUCCUCCUUCAUCGGCGGUGGGGCUUGGACUUGGAGGCUUUGCGGGCUUUUAACGAGUCGGCUCCUCUCAAAUGCAUUAGCUCGAACCCCUGCGGAUCGGCCUCGGUGUGAUAUAAUGUCUACGUCGUGGUCGUGAGCGUCGGAUCGGCUUCUAAUGGUCCCCUUUCGGAGGCGGAAUUUGAACUUGUGACCUCAAAUCAGGUAGGACUACCCGCUGAACUUAAGCAUAUCA